GGAGCCCGCAUGGAUCCAAGAUUCACCCAGAAAACGUGAAGUUUGGUGGCGGAAAAAUCAUGGUCUGGGGUUCCAUCCAGUAUGGGGGUGUGCGAGAGAUCUGCAGGGUGGAAGGCAACAUCAAUAGUCUCAAAUACCAAGGCUGGGCCGGCCCAGUCACCAGACAUGAACAUCAUGGAGCAUAUGUGGGGUAGGAUGGAAGAGAAGCAUGGAAGACCAAACCAAAGAGUACUGAUGAACUCUGGAGCUUUCCUAGCUAGUCCUGAUGACUUCAUCAACACAUGGUCUGAAUCCUCGCCAAACCGCAUGGGUCCAGUCCUUCAAGCUCAUGGAAGUCAUACAAGAUAUUACAUUUGGAUCUCACAGCACCGCUAUUUAAUUUGCUGACAUAUUUUAGUAUUUGUAGUAAAUUUGUUCAAUUUCUGUAUAGGCGACAAGACUUUUGUCUUGCCAAAAUUUGACCUUUCUGUCUUGUUUAAAUAAAUCUUUAUUUAGUGAAACUAAUUUAUUUCAGUGCGAGGGUUUUAGCUUUUCAUAUGAGCUAUUUCUUACACCAAUUGAUGAAUUAAAAGUCAGGUUAAUAGCAGGUGUUUCUACAAAAUAGAUAAGCGACAAGACUUGUGUCAGGGACUGUAUAUGUAUCCCAAAUCAAUAUCUAAUCUGACAAAACAUGCGUUACGGGAGACCGUGAUAAGCCCUAUUACAACAAACUGGGUAUUCCUUAUUGUCUGAAGGAGUCAGAUAAUCACUUUUAAGACUUGAGAAAUCCUAAUUAGGACCAAAAAAGAAGCUAUGUAAUGUGUUAAUGUUCUCUGUCUUGGAUGAGUAACAGCAGCUGGCAACAGAGGGAUGUGGUAAUACACAGCACCUUAUAUGUUGGCAUCCAGUAAGUAGCGUCAGGCUUCAGGGGCAGGGGCAUGUUGAGGCAUUGAUUCUUGGAACUUGACAUGUUGAGCUUGGCGGUUUUCUUCUUUGUUGAGCACACAGUUCCACGCUGAGAGAAUGUUUAUGUAGCGUGAAGCUCAGGGUCUUGUGUCCAGAAAUCCCUGCAACCAAAUACAACUUCCAUGUUUCAUUUCUUGUACAAAACAGUGAUUAUGUUGUUAUUGGCACCGCUCUCUGUUGUUUAAAGUUGGUCCAGUUCCACAAAAUGACU
Long non-coding RNA from Etheostoma spectabile (orangethroat darter), 1156 nucleotides. RefSeq lists it as uncharacterized. The transcript has 3 exons. Lineage: Eukaryota; Metazoa; Chordata; Actinopteri; Perciformes; Percidae. The record is from RefSeq and is a predicted model, not a curated record.